Molecule: small nuclear RNA, 103 nt
Organism: Meriones unguiculatus (Mongolian gerbil)
Lineage: Eukaryota; Metazoa; Chordata; Mammalia; Rodentia; Muridae
Source: Ensembl
GUGCUCACUUCAGCAGUACACACUCAAAAAUUGGAGUGGCACAAAGAUUUGCAUGGCCCUUGUGCAAAGAUGAAAUGCAAAUGUGGACUAGUCCAUAAUUUUU